Molecule: small nucleolar RNA, 138 nt
Organism: Ornithorhynchus anatinus (platypus)
Lineage: Eukaryota; Metazoa; Chordata; Mammalia; Monotremata; Ornithorhynchidae
Source: RefSeq, a predicted model, not a curated record
CCCCUCUCAGGGUGGCACCUGGAGAGUUUCCAAUACUCUACCAGUCUCGACUACAGGAGGGAGAGUCAAGCGGAGGCCUGUCCAUUCCAUUCCUAGCUUGGCCAGUGGCCGGUGAGUGGAAGACAGUCUGCUUCAAGU